RNAcentral lists this ribosomal RNA (700 nucleotides) under uncultured bacterium. Its description in RNAcentral is "bacterial SSU rRNA". It matches the Rfam family "Bacterial small subunit ribosomal RNA", at positions 42 to 731 of the family's 1533-position model. The record is from RNAcentral.
UCAGGCCUAACACAUGCAAGUCGAGCGGUAGCGGGAAGAGCUUGCUCUUUGCCGACGAGCGGCGGACGGGUGCGUAACACGUAGGAAUCUGCCUGGUAGUGGGGGAUAGCCCGGAGAAAUCCGGAUUAAUACCGCAUACGCCUUACGAGGGAAAGGAGGGGACUCUUCGGAGCCUUUCGCUAUCAGAUGAGCCUGCGUCGGAUUAGCUUGUUGGUGGGGUAAAGGCCUACCAAGGCGACGAUCCGUAGCUGGUCUGAGAGGAUGAUCAGCCACACUGGGACUGAGACACGGCCCAGACUCCUACGGGAGGCAGCAGUGGGGAAUAUUGCACAAUGGGCGAAAGCCUGAUGCAGCCAUGCCGCGUGUGUGAAGAAGGCCCUAGGGUUGUAAAGCACUUUCAGUGGGGAGGAAAGGUUGAAGGUUAAUACCCUUCAGCUGUGACGUUACCCACAGAAGAAGCACCGGCUAACUCCGUGCCAGCAGCCGCGGUAAUACGGAGGGUGCGAGCGUUAAUCGGAAUUACUGGGCGUAAAGCGCGCGUAGGCGGCCACCUAAGUUGGAUGUGAAAGCCCCGGGCUCAACCUGGGAACUGCAUCCAAAACUGGGUGGCUAGAGUACGGGAGAGGAGUGUGGAAUUUCCUGUGUAGCGGUGAAAUGCGUAGAUAUAGGAAGGAACACCAGUGGCGAAGGCGACACUCUG